GGGGGGGGGCAAUGUCAAAAUCUGUUUUAUUCGAGUCAUAAACUGUACAAUAUCAGCGGGACUUUGCAGCCUGUUGUGGAGUGAGUAUCUAUCUAGCACUGUUACUGAUUACCCAGAGGUCUGGAUAGCAGUGUGUUCCACUCGUCAGAAUCUGAACAGGAAACUGACUUUGAGAGGGAGUUCACCUCUGACACUCCCUGUGUCACAGCCAGUGUUAUGAAACGCCACUGAAUGGAAAACACACACCCAGUUCAUGAUUGGGUUAUGUUUUCGCAAAGUUUACCAAAACAAAUCAUUUUAACAUUCUGCUAAUUGUCCAUAUGCUUUGUUUUGAAGGUGAGGAAGGUCAUAAUUUGUAAUAAUAAAACAGUUUGCCAGGUCCUGUGCCAUACAUAGUUCCCUUUGCAAGUUUGCUUAGUUGUCAAACCUAACUACUUUCUCUAUUAGCAAGGUGAAGAGUUUUUAGGCAAAUUCCACAUAGUUUUGAUAUCUUAGCCUAUUGAUACAUUUGCUGCAUUCAUUGUUCUUUAAAAAGAAAAACUGGGUCCAAGCAGAAGAAAAUCCAUAGCCUAACACAUUUGGCUUCGUUCACACAGACAAGUCCCAGCAAGAGCUGAGAAACAGCAAAAUAUAUGAGACUGGUUCCUCCUGAGUCUUCAGGGGCUUGGCACAGUUUGAUUGGGAUCACUACUAUUGACUCUACUGUGAGCAUGUCCAUUGCACCCUAGCCACUUCUGCAUUUGGGGCUCAACUGCAGAAAUCAAUACCUAUUGAUUUGGGGGCAUUGACACAAGUGUGACAUGCCCUGGAAGCAUGUAGCAACAUAGACCACACAGGGAAUCACUGCCGCUCAAAGCCACAUAAAACACACGUCAAAUAAUUUGUCAACAAAAGCACCAAAACAUUUGCCAAGAAAAUAGCUAGUUGAAGAUCAUAUUUAAUAUGACUACAUGGCAUACAACUCUUAAGUUUGAGGUGAACAUUUUCAUAUACACAAUAAUUUUACAAAACAAUUCAAGUAAUUUAAAACAGAAUCAGAGUCCUACAAGAAUUACACGAUAACAAUCACAACACACCUGUCUACCAUAGCAUAUUUAAACAAUCCCUGGGCGCAGACCGCUUGAAGAGAUAUCGCAGGUUAAAAACAGUCUUGGUUGCACGCAAAACAAACUUGCUACUAGAUGAAAAUAACUGCAUGCCUUACCGUCGAUGGUUAUGAUAGUAACCUUACAUAUUGGCUUCUAUCCAAACCAACACAGGAGAACCCACAAAUAAGUCCAGACCACCAUCGCGAACACGAUGACCAGGAUGAGACUCCCCACUCCCACAGCCACCCACAGCUUCCAGCCUGCAAGUCCCACUUCCU
Hypomesus transpacificus is the source of this 1366-nucleotide long non-coding RNA. RefSeq lists it as uncharacterized. The transcript is spliced from 3 exons. NCBI's taxonomy places the organism in Eukaryota, Metazoa, Chordata, Actinopteri, Osmeriformes, Osmeridae. The record is from RefSeq and is a predicted model, not a curated record.